UUAAAAUGAUCCACCCAGUUACAAAAUUGGUCCAUUCUUUUGUAGAGAACAAAGGGGAUCAAGAUGAGAGCUAAGAACAAAGAAAGGGGAAUUGGGGAUUGGGAUGAAGAAGGCCCAAAAAUAAGGAAGUGUGGGUUGGAAACAAGGGGGUUGAGAUGAGAGCCAUAAUUGUGAUGAUGGUUUCUAGAGAUGAUCUAUUUUUUUAAUGAU
This 210-nucleotide long non-coding RNA is filed under the name Physcomitrium patens. RNAcentral describes it as "long non-coding RNA (PPAT_LNC011120)". Lineage: Eukaryota; Viridiplantae; Streptophyta; Bryopsida; Funariales; Funariaceae. The record is from RNAcentral.